CCUACGGGAGGCAGCAGUGAGGAAUAUUGGUCAAUGGGCGAAAGUCUGAACCAGCCAAGUAGCGUGAGGGAUGAAGGCCCUAUGGGUUGUAAACUGCUUUUAUAUGGGGAUAAAACAGUGUAUGUAUACCCUUUUGUAUGUACCGUGCGAAUAAGGACCGGCCAACUCCGUGCCAGCAGCCGCGGUAAUACGGUGGAUCCGAGCGUUAUCCGGAAUUAUUGGGUUUAAAGGGAGCGUAGGGGGGUUGUUUAGUCAGUUGUGAAAUUUUGGGGUCCAACCGGCAAAUCGCAGUUGAAACUGGUCGACUUGAGUUCAGUAGAGGUGGGCGGAAUUCGUGGUGUAGCGGUGAAAUGCUUAGAUAUCACGAAGAACCCCGAUUGCGAAGGCAGCUUACUGGACUGCAACUGACGCUGAGGCUCGAAAGUGUGGGUAUCAAACAGGAUUAGAUACCCGUGUAGUC
This 460-nucleotide ribosomal RNA is filed under the name uncultured bacterium. RNAcentral describes it as "partial 16S ribosomal RNA". It matches the Rfam family "Bacterial small subunit ribosomal RNA", at positions 338 to 795 of the family's 1533-position model. The record is from RNAcentral.